CUUUCAAACUGAAAGAAUUUAUAAUCUAAUUUAUUAAUAUUCUCUGGAAAAGACAAAGAUACAACAGUAUGCCUGUUUAGAAAGUAUUUCAUAACUCACUCAGGGGAAAAACCUUACCUCAUUUCGGGAAAAAAUUGGGAUUUUGCCCUGUCCUUAUGUGCUAUUUUCCGUAGUAUUUUUCCAGUAGUACUUCUCCAAAUCAAGCUAGGGACAGUUCAGCUUCAAGUUUUAUUGACAUUUUUUGUGGGCAUGAAAUGCUUUUUUUAAUACCUUACUUUAACUCAUUUUGUGUAUUUCUAUGGGAUUCCUAUUUCUUUUCUGAAGAAAGGAGAAAAAGUCAUUAACUUAGAGAAGUUCAGACUUUUCAGAAGGUCAUGAAUCUGACAAGCCAGAAGCAAUGGAUCCUUCUCCAUCUGCCUUUUAUUUCCAGCACAUUUAUACAACCUUCAAGUCUUUGUUUUUCAAAUCUCAGGGAGAGCUACCCAUCCUGGAGUCAAUUGAUGGUUAUCAGGAAGGUGUUUUCAGCUAUUUUCAAAAUACCUUGCAUCUAUGGAACGUGUGUAUAUUUUUGGGUAAUGGCUACUGGACAUCUCCUUGCUUCCUGGUUAUGCCAGGAGUGCCUUUUUCCCUUCAGUACGAUUCCUUCAAACAUUUUGAUGCUUAGGAAGCUAAAUGAGAGAUGGAUUCCUGGGUCAAAGGCAUAUGAGCGUGUUUCCUCACUGGAGAAGCUGUUCAGGAAGGGCUGCAGGUAAAUGAAUUUCUCUUUCCGAACAAAUGUCAAUUCCAGACUAGCAUUGUGUGUUGAAAUGCUGCCCUGGGGAGAGAAGUGGAAGAAAGGAAUGUUAAAGAGGCUUCUUAGCUAAUGGCCUUAUGUGAGAAAUAGCAUACCAUUUCUCAAUCAAUGUCAUUUCCAAGUCGUGCAAGGAGAUUAUGUAUGGGGAGUGGUUAUCUGGCAAUUCAUACAUCAUUUGUAUCCACAUCUGCCCCCUGGGUUUGGUCAGAUGGAUUUAAUUUUAAAAAUAUCACUUUCACCUGCUCCUCUGCAGUUCGAUUGGCCUCCCACACUGAGGUUUUAUUUGUACUCAUGGAAUUACUGCAUUUGCUUCCUUAAAGCAGGGUAGAGGGGGAUAUUUGAACACAUAUCAUGGGACAUAAGGAAAUCAUAAGAAUUAGAGAUGGAAAGAAAAAUGAAAUUGAUCAUCUACCUGAAAAAAUUGGACUUCCAAUAUACUCUCAUCAAAAGGGGACACAGAAACCUAUCACUUCUAAAGGGCUUCCAGGUCAACUAAAUAUUCUUGAUGUUUAGCUCAUUAAAUAAAUGAAGUAUAACCACUUCA
RNAcentral lists this long non-coding RNA (1337 nucleotides) under Sus scrofa (pig). RNAcentral's name for it is "lncRNA (ENSSSCG00055008226.1)". The record is from RNAcentral. Lineage: Eukaryota; Metazoa; Chordata; Mammalia; Artiodactyla; Suidae.